CGAUGACGCUGGCGGCAUGCCUUACACAUGCAAGUCGAACGGCAGCACGGGUGCUUGCACCUGGUGGCGAGUGGCGAACGGGUGAGUAAUACAUCGGAACAUGUCCUGUAGUGGGGGAUAGCCCGGCGAAAGCCGGAUUAAUACCGCAUACGAUCCACGGAUGAAAGCGGGGGACCUUCGGGCCUCGCGCUAUAGGGUUGGCCGAUGGCUGAUUAGCUAGUUGGUGGGGUAAAGGCCUACCAAGGCGACGAUCAGUAGCUGGUCUGAGAGGACGACCAGCCACACUGGGACUGAGACACGGCCCAGACUCCUACGGGAGGCAGCAGUGGGGAAUUUUGGACAAUGGGCGAAAGCCUGAUCCAGCAAUGCCGCGUGUGUGAAGAAGGCCUUCGGGUUGUAAAGCACUUUUGUCCGGAAAGAAAUCCUUGGCUCUAAUACAGUCGGGGGAUGACGGUACCGGAAGAAUAAGCACCGGCUAACUACGUGCCAGCAGCCGCGGUAAUACGUAGGGUGCAAGCGUUAAUCGGAAUUACUGGGCGUAAAGCGUGCGCAGGCGGUUUGCUAAGACCGAUGUGAAAUCCCCGGGCUCAACCUGGGAACUGCAUUGGUGACUGGCAGGCUAGAGUAUGGCAGAGGGGGGUAGAAUUCCACGUGUAGCCGUGAAAUGCGUAGAGAUGUGGAGGAAUACCGAUGGCGAAGGCAGCCCCCUGGGCCAAUACUGACCCUCAUGCACGAAAGCGUGGGGAGCAACAGGAUUAGAUACCCUGGUAGUCCACGCCCUAAACGAUGUCACUAGUUGUUGGGGAUUCAUUUCCUUGUACGUA
This 824-nucleotide ribosomal RNA is filed under the name Burkholderia cenocepacia. RNAcentral's name for it is "bacterial SSU rRNA". It matches the Rfam family "Bacterial small subunit ribosomal RNA", at positions 26 to 850 of the family's 1533-position model. Lineage: Bacteria; Pseudomonadati; Pseudomonadota; Betaproteobacteria; Burkholderiales; Burkholderiaceae. The record is from RNAcentral.